UACGAGGGGGGCGAGCGUUGUUCGGAAUUACUGGGCGUAAAGCGUGCGCAGGCGGUUUUGCAAGCCGGAUGUGAAAUCCCCGGGCUUAACCUGGGAAUGGCAUUUGGGACUGCAAGGCUGGAGUGCGGCAGAGGAGACUGGAAUUCCUGGUGUAGCAGUGAAAUGCGUAGAUAUCAGGAGGAACACCGAUGGCGAAGGCAGGUCUCUGGGCUGACACUGACGCUCAUGCACGAAAGCGUGGGGAGCAAACAGG
This 253-nucleotide ribosomal RNA is filed under the name uncultured bacterium. Its description in RNAcentral is "partial 16S ribosomal RNA". It matches the Rfam family "Bacterial small subunit ribosomal RNA", at positions 524 to 776 of the family's 1533-position model. The record is from RNAcentral.